This is a non-coding RNA of Vigna umbellata (rice bean), 644 nucleotides long. Lineage: Eukaryota; Viridiplantae; Streptophyta; Magnoliopsida; Fabales; Fabaceae. The record is from RefSeq and is a predicted model, not a curated record.
UUGUCUCGCAUUAUAAAUCAUAACAUUAACAGCUUGUACUCUUCUUUACAUUGAAUACAAAAGCAUUACUAAUUUGCGGCUACUACAUAUUACCUCAUCGCAGCCAAAUCCUAGUCAUUUUGCAAUUCUUGUCAGAGGAAUACCUUGGUCUUCAGAUCAAUCAUACUGCGAAACAGUGAAAAAGUUUUUUUCAUUCUAUCACCCCUCAACAUAUUUGUCGCACCAAAUUGUGUAUAAGUCUGGUUCAGUCCAGAAACUGAAGGAUGAUGCAGAAUAUAUGUGUAAAAUGCUCAGUUCUGGUUGUGGUUCAAUGGAACAGACGUGUAAGCCAAGUUUUGCGCAAUGUUACUUUUGUGGAGGAUCCACUAAUUCUUUUAAGAUUAUUUCUAAUGAAACUGAUAGUAUACACGGAAGAACAGGCUACUCUGACGUGCAUUUAAAUGCAAGAAAAAAGGUCAAUUUCUGGCUGAUUUGAUUUAUAUAAUUACAAUAUUAAUGUGUUAAGGCGUUUCAUUUUUGUGAUCUAGUGAACUCCCUUGAUAAGAAUUUUCUUGAUCUAAUAUGAACAUGUGAAACCUCUUUAAACUCUAUUUGAUUUUUAAUGAUUCACUUAUUAUUUUCUCUUCUGCGGCACUGUCCAAUUU